UACGGAGGGUGCAAGCGUUGUCCGGAUUUAUUGGGUUUAAAGGGUGCGUAGGUGGUCAAUUAAGUCAGUGGUGAAAUCCUGCAGCUCAACUGUGGAACUGCCAUUGAAACUGAAUGACUUGAGUAUAGACGAGGUAGGCGGAAUUUAUGGUGUAGCGGUGAAAUGCAUAGAUACCAUAAAGAACACCGAUAGCGAAGGCAGCUUACUAGGCUAUAACUGACACUGAGGCACGAAAGCGUGGGGAGCGAACAGG
This 253-nucleotide unclassified non-coding RNA is filed under the name uncultured Cyclobacteriaceae bacterium. Its description in RNAcentral is "contains 16S-23S intergenic spacer region". It matches the Rfam family "Bacterial small subunit ribosomal RNA", at positions 524 to 776 of the family's 1533-position model. The record is from RNAcentral. Lineage: Bacteria; Pseudomonadati; Bacteroidota; Cytophagia; Cytophagales; Cyclobacteriaceae.